AUUGAACGCUGGCGGCAUGCCUUACACAUGCAAGUCGAACGGCAGCACGGGUGCUUGCCCCUGGUGGCGAGUGGCGAACGGGUGAGUAAUACAUCGGAACAUGUCCUUUAGUGGGGGAUAGCCCGGCGAAAGCCGGAUUAAUACCGCAUACGAUCUACGGAUGAAAGCGGGGGACCUUCGGGCCUCGCGCUAUAGGGUUGGCCGAUGGCUAAUUAGCUAGUUGGUGGGGUAAAGGCCUACCAAGGCGACGAUCAGUAGCUGGUCUGAGAGGACGACCAGCCACACUGGGACUGAGACACGGCCCAGACUCCUACGGGAGGCAGCAGUGGGGAAUUUUGGACAAUGGGCGAAAGCCUGAUCCAGCAAUGCCGCGUGUGUGAAGAAGGCCUUCGGGUUGUAAAGCACUUUUGUCCGGAAAGAAAUCCUUGGCCCUAAUACGGUCGGGGGAUGACGGUACCGGAAGAAUAAGCACCGGCUAACUACGUG
Molecule: ribosomal RNA, 486 nt
Filed under: uncultured bacterium
Lineage: Bacteria
Description: partial 16S ribosomal RNA
Rfam family: Bacterial small subunit ribosomal RNA
Source: RNAcentral